GACGAACGCUGGCGGCGUGCUUAACACAUGCAAGUCGAACGGAAAGGCCCUGCUUUUGUGGGGUGCUCGAGUGGCGAACGGGUGAGUAACACGUGAGUAACCUGCCCUUGACUUUGGGAUAACUUCAGGAAACUGGGGCUAAUACCGGAUAGGAGCUCCUGCUGCAUGGUGGGGGUUGGAAAGUUUCGGCGGUUGGGGAUGGACUCGCGGCUUAUCAGCGUGUUGGUGGGGUAGUGCUUACCAAGGCUUUGACGGGUAGCCGGCCUGAGAGGGUGACCGGCCACAUUGGGACUGAGAUACGGCCCAGACUCCUACGGGAGGCAGCAGUGGGGAAUAUUGCACAAUGGGCGGAAGCCUGAUGCAGCAACGCCGCGUGCGGGAUGACGGCCUUCGGGUUGUAAACCGCUUUCGCCUGUGACGAAGCGUGAGUGACGGUAAUGGGUAAAGAAGCACCGGCUAACUCCGUG
RNAcentral lists this ribosomal RNA (467 nucleotides) under uncultured bacterium. Its description in RNAcentral is "partial 16S ribosomal RNA". It matches the Rfam family "Bacterial small subunit ribosomal RNA", at positions 28 to 507 of the family's 1533-position model. The record is from RNAcentral.